RNAcentral lists this long non-coding RNA (242 nucleotides) under Elaeis guineensis (African oil palm). RNAcentral describes it as "long non-coding RNA (EGUI_LNC079547)". Lineage: Eukaryota; Viridiplantae; Streptophyta; Magnoliopsida; Arecales; Arecaceae. The record is from RNAcentral.
GCCAACAUGGUGAAUCAUAUUUUGAUUAGAUCACUUAAUGAUUGGGGUUGACCCAUGCUAACUAAGAAAUCAGUAUGACUGAUUUAGGUGUCCCUAGUUCAACUUAUCUUGAGUCCUCUUUAUAAUUUGAUGAAGUCAGUGGAAGGAUUCAUGACUGGUUGGCUGGACCAGUUUAUGCCUGAUCUUUUUUAAUCUGACUUGAUGAAAUCAAUGGAAGUAUUAAGAUUAACUAAUCAAGUCUC